UACGGGGGGGGCAAGCGUUGUUCGGAAUUACUGGGCGUAAAGGGCUCGUAGGCGGCUAACUAAGUCAGACGUGAAAUCCCCAGGCUUAACCUGGGAACUGCGUCUGAUACUGGAUGGCUUGAAUUCGGGAGAGGGAUGCAGAAUUCCAGGUGUAGCGGUGAAAUGCGUAGAUAUCUGGAGGAAUACCGGUGGCGAAGGCGGCAUCCUGGACCGACAUUGACGCUGAGGAGCGAAAGCUAGGGGAGCAAACGGG
Molecule: ribosomal RNA, 253 nt
Filed under: uncultured bacterium
Lineage: Bacteria
Description: partial 16S ribosomal RNA
Rfam family: Bacterial small subunit ribosomal RNA
Source: RNAcentral